This 458-nucleotide ribosomal RNA is filed under the name uncultured phototrophic eukaryote. RNAcentral describes it as "bacterial SSU rRNA". It matches the Rfam family "Bacterial small subunit ribosomal RNA", at positions 198 to 671 of the family's 1533-position model. The record is from RNAcentral.
AGUGAAAUGGAUUUUUCCGCCUAGAGAGAAGCUUGCGGCUGAUUAGCUUGUUGGUGAGGUAAUGGCUCACCAAGGCGACGAUCAGUAUCUGGUUUGAGAGGACGAUCAGACACACUGGAACUGAGACACGGUCCAGACUCCUACGGGAGGCAGCAGUGGGGAAUUUUCCGCAAUGGGCGAAAGCCUGACGGAGCAAUACCGCGUGAGGGAUGACGGCCUAUGGGUUGUAAACCUCUUUUUUCAGGGAGGAAUAAAUGACGUGUACCUGAAGAAUAAGCAUCGGCUAACUCCGUGCCAGCAGCCGCGGUAAGACGGAGGAUGCAAGUGUUAUCCGGAAUCACUGGGCGUAAAGCGUCUGUAGGUGGUCCAAUAAGUCAACUGUUAAAUCUUGAGGCUCAACCUCAAAAUCGCAGUCGAAACUAUUAGACUAGAGUAUAGUAGGGGUAAAGGGAAUUUCC